Molecule: long non-coding RNA, 488 nt
Filed under: Mus pahari (shrew mouse)
Lineage: Eukaryota; Metazoa; Chordata; Mammalia; Rodentia; Muridae
Description: lncRNA (MGP_PahariEiJ_G0003364.1)
Source: RNAcentral
UGGCUUAAAAAUGGGCGCAGAGUCAGCCAAUCAAGGGCGGGAAAACUCGGAGGGUUGAAAAUGGGGCGCAUGCGCAAUAGCAGAAGCAAUGGGCGGGUCCAGGAACAGCCGCUAGCCAGGCUGCACCCGGCUGUGGCAGCCACGGGCAGGGGCGGAGCUCGCCCUAGAUGGGAGCUGCUUGGGGACAAACUGUGUAGGGUGCGCUCUCGGGCGGGUGGGGCUUCAACACCCAACCAGCUGUAGAGUCGCUGCGUGCGACAACCAAGAACAGCAGCCUACACGUGUUCACAGUCCUCUGAUUCCAACACCACGUUGGGAUUUGACACAACCGACCAAGUGCUGCGGCCCACGGAACACAAACAGCAGGCCUGCGGAUUUUAAACUAGAAGCAGCGAGGUUUCUCGCCAGAGAAAUGACUGAACUCCUUGAUUAAUUUACUCUCUGCACCUGGGAGGGGGGAGAACAUGAACAGGAAGGUUUUAAGAGGC